This 300-nucleotide unclassified non-coding RNA is filed under the name uncultured Diaporthe. Its description in RNAcentral is "sequence contains 5.8S rRNA gene, ITS2". The stretch from base 1 to 82 matches the Rfam family "5.8S ribosomal RNA", at positions 71 to 154 of the family's 154-position model. Lineage: Eukaryota; Fungi; Ascomycota; Sordariomycetes; Diaporthales; Diaporthaceae. The record is from RNAcentral.
AUAAGAGACAUGUGAAUCAUCGAAUCUUUGAACGCACAUUGCGCCCUCUGGUAUUCCGGAGGGCAUGCCUGUUCGAGCGUCAUUUCAACCCUCAAGCAUUGCUUGGUGUUGGGGCACCGCCUGUAAAAGGGCGGGCCCUGAAAUCUAGUGGCGAGCUCGCCAGGACCCCGAGCGUAGUAAUUAUAUUUCGUUCUGGAAGGCCCUGGCGGUGCCCUGCCGUUAAACCCCCAACUUCUGAAAAUUUGACCUCGGAUCAGGUAGGACUACCCGCUGAACUUAAGCAUAUCAAUAAGCGGAGGA